Molecule: ribosomal RNA, 906 nt
Filed under: uncultured bacterium
Lineage: Bacteria
Also listed under: 1 other name
Description: bacterial SSU rRNA
Rfam family: Bacterial small subunit ribosomal RNA
Source: RNAcentral
UGGAUCCAGACUUUGAUCCUGGCUCAGGACGAACGCUGGCGGCGUGCCUAACACAUGCAAGUCGAACGAGGGUUUGGAAAGCUUGCUUUCCGAAACCUAGUGGCGGACGGGUGAGUAACGCGUGAGUAACCUGCCUUUCAGAGGGGAAUAACGUUUUGAAAAGAACGCUAAUACCGCAUAACGUACAGUUACCGCAUGGUAGCAGUACCAAAGGAGCAAUCCGCUGAAAGAUGGACUCGCGUCCGAUUAGCUAGUUGGUGGGGUAAAGGCCUACCAAGGCGACGAUCGGUAGCCGGACUGAGAGGUUGAACGGCCACAUUGGGACUGAGACACGGCCCAGACUCCUACGGGAGGCAGCAGUGGGGGAUAUUGCACAAUGGGGGAAACCCUGAUGCAGCAACGCCGCGUGUGGGAAGAAGGUUUUCGGAUUGUAAACCACUGUUCUUGGUGAAGAUAAUGACGGUAACCAAGGAGAAAGCUCCGGCUAACUACGUGCCAGCAGCCGCGGUAAUAUGUAGGGAGCAAGCGUUGUCCGGAUUUACUGGGUGUAAAGGGUGCGUAGGCGGCUAGGCAAGUCAGACGUGAAAACCAUGGGCUCAACCUGUGGACUGCGUUUGAAACUGUUUAGCUUGAGUGAAGUAGAGGUAGGCGGAAUUCCCGGUGUAGCGGUGAAAUGCGUAGAGAUCGGGAGGAACACCAGUGGCGAAGGCGGCCUACUGGGCUUUAACUGACGCUGAGGCACGAAAGCAUGGGUAGCAAACAGGAUUAGAUACCCUGGUAGUCCAUGCCGUAAACGAUGAUUACUAGGUGUGGGGGGUCUGACCCCCUCCGUGCCGGAGUUAACACAAUAAGUAAUCCACCUGGGGAGUACGGCCGCAAGGUUGCAACUCAAAUGAAUUGACGGAA